GGUGGCUCAGUGGUAAAGCGCUUGCCUUCCAUGCAUGAGGCCCUGGGUUUGAUUCCCCAGCACCA
RNAcentral lists this transfer RNA (65 nucleotides) under Dipodomys ordii (Ord's kangaroo rat). It matches the Rfam family "tRNA". From Rfam's summary of the family: Transfer RNA (tRNA) molecules are approximately 80 nucleotides in length. Their secondary structure includes four short double-helical elements and three loops (D, anti-codon, and T loops). Further hydrogen bonds mediate the characteristic L-shaped molecular structure. tRNAs have two regions of fundamental functional importance: the anti-codon, which is responsible for specific mRNA codon recognition, and the 3' end, to which the tRNAs corresponding amino acid is attached (by aminoacyl-tRNA synthetases). tRNAs cope with the degeneracy of the genetic code in two manners: having more than one tRNA (with a specific anti-codon) for a particular amino acid; and 'wobble' base-pairing, i.e. permitting non-standard base-pairing at the 3rd anti-codon position. Lineage: Eukaryota; Metazoa; Chordata; Mammalia; Rodentia; Heteromyidae. The record is from Rfam by way of RNAcentral.